UGAAGCUGGAUUUGCGCCAGGAUUUGAACCGUAAAGGUUCGACGCAGGCGCCAAGCGCCAAGAACGUCGCGCGCAGCGCGGCGGCCCGAAGGGCGAGGACGUAGUCCGAGUCAUCCUGGCGCCCCAGCCA
RNAcentral lists this small RNA (130 nucleotides) under Gammaproteobacteria bacterium. RNAcentral describes it as "RtT sRNA". It matches the Rfam family "RtT RNA". Rfam says of the family: This family represents a bacterial cis-regulatory element known as RtT RNA. The record is from RNAcentral. Lineage: Bacteria; Pseudomonadati; Pseudomonadota; Gammaproteobacteria.